This is a long non-coding RNA of Oncorhynchus tshawytscha (Chinook salmon), 946 nucleotides long. The record is from Ensembl. Lineage: Eukaryota; Metazoa; Chordata; Actinopteri; Salmoniformes; Salmonidae.
ACAUGAUUGGACUCAACAGCAUACAUUCAUCUUGUCAUUGGAAGCAGUCCAGUUCGUGACUCACUCCUCUCUCAUGGGAGCCUGCUGUCAUUGAUGGAGGAGUUGGUGAAGUGCCAUCAACCAGUAAACCACAUUCUGAUGGCACAUAAAUCAAAUCAAACUUUAUUUGUCACGUACGCCGAAUACCACAGGUGUAGGUAGACCUUACAGUGAAAUGCUGACUUACAACAGGCUCUAACCAACAGGCAAUUUCUAAGUAAAGAAAAUAGGUAUUAGGUGAACAACAGAUAAGUAAGGAAAAGUAAGGAACAGUGAAUGAUAACAGUAGAGAGGCUAUAUACAGUAGAGAGGCUAUAACAGUAGAGAGGCUAUAUACAGUAGAGAGGCUAUAACAGUAGAGAGGCUAUAUACAGUAGAGAGGCUAUAUACAGUAGAGAGGCUAUAUACAGUAGAGAGGCUAUAUACAGUAGAGAGGCUAUAACAGUAGAGAGGCUAUAUACAGUAGAGAGGCUAUAUACAGUAGAGAGGCGAUAUACAGUAGAGAGGCUAUAUACAGUAGUGAGGCGAUAUACAGUAGAGAGUCUAUAUACAGUAGUGAGGCGAUACACAGUAGAGAGUCUAUUUACAGUAGAGGCUAUAUACAGUAGAGGCUAUAUACAGGCCCCGGUUAGUCAGGCUGAUUGAGGUAGUAUGUAGAUAUGGUUAAAGUGACUAUGCAAAUAUGAUGAACAGAGAGUAGCAGUAGCGUAAAAGAGAGAUUGGCGGGUGGUGGGUGGUUGGACACAAUGCACCGGUUAGUUGGGCUAUUUGAGGUAGUAUGUAGAUAAAUGACUAAGUGACUAAGCAUAUAUGAUCAACAGAGAGUAACAGCAGCAUAAAAUAGGGGUUGGGGGGGCACACAAUGCAAAUAGUCAUUCAACCUGUUCAGGAGUCUUAUGGCUUGGGG